Molecule: ribosomal RNA, 490 nt
Filed under: uncultured bacterium
Lineage: Bacteria
Description: partial 16S ribosomal RNA
Rfam family: Bacterial small subunit ribosomal RNA
Source: RNAcentral
AGUGAACGCUGGCGGUAGGCCUAACACAUGCAAGUCGAACGGCAGCACAGUAAGAGCUUGCUCUUACGGGUGGCGAGUGGCGGACGGGUGAGGAAUACAUCGGAAUCUACUUUUUCGUGGGGGAUAACAUAGGGAAACUUACGCUAAUACCGCAUACGACCUACGGGUGAAAGCAGGGGAUCUUCGGACCUUGCGCGAUUGAAUGAGCCGAUGUCGGAUUAGCUAGUUGGCGGGGUAAAGGCCCACCAAGGCGACGAUCCGUAGCUGGUCUGAGAGGAUGAUCAGCCACACUGGAACUGAGACACGGUCCAGACUCCUACGGGAGGCAGCAGUGGGGAAUAUGGGACAAGGGGCGCAAGCCUGAUCCAGCCAUACCGCGUGGGUGAAGAAGGCCGUCGGGUUGGAAAGCCCUUUUGUUGGGAAAGAAAAGCAGCAGGUUAAUACCCCGCUGUUCUGACGGUACCCAAAGAAUAAGCACCGGCUAACUUCG